RNAcentral lists this long non-coding RNA (211 nucleotides) under Lathyrus oleraceus (garden pea). RNAcentral describes it as "Pisum sativum (pea) long non-coding RNA (PSAT_LNC016136)". The record is from RNAcentral. Lineage: Eukaryota; Viridiplantae; Streptophyta; Magnoliopsida; Fabales; Fabaceae.
UUUUUCCUCUUUCUUCUUACCGACGAAAGAGAGUCUUUAAAGGAGAGUAUUGUGGUUUUUUAAGAGUUUUUCUUUCUUUUUUUCUUUGUUGCUGUUGGUGAGGAGAGAGACGUUAUUAAGGAGAGAGGUAUCUCUGUGAUGUAGCUGUCCACCAUUUAAUAAUUAUUAUAUUAUUUAUUUAUUAAUUAUUUACUAUUAAAUCCUAAAUUUU